Long non-coding RNA from Zophobas morio, 947 nucleotides. RefSeq lists it as uncharacterized. The record is from RefSeq and is a predicted model, not a curated record. NCBI's taxonomy places the organism in Eukaryota, Metazoa, Arthropoda, Insecta, Coleoptera, Tenebrionidae. The transcript is spliced from 2 exons.
AUUCAGGCCCGGUUUUACAAUGCAAGCUUAAGCGAGGUUCAAAGAUAAGCCUUGGUUCAACUGCAGUUGUCCGUUUUACAAUACAUGGUUCAAUGUUAAACCGCGCUCAAACGAAGGCUCAGCUGAGCGCUGAUGUCAGGGUGGUUUAAGCUUCGCUCAACUGUCCAUAACCUCAAAUGUCUGUGCUUUAUCGUUUUGGUGGUGUGACAGCAUUAUAAUUGAAGAUGGAAAAUUUAUUAGGAGUAUUAACUGACGAUGAAGACGUUUUAGAAAUGAUAAACAUAUUAGAACCGGCACGUAUGCGACGACCAAAAGUUUUUCAGUUGAGAGAAAAUCACUUUGAAAAGUGAAAUGCUGGGGAAUUUUUGAAACGAUUUCGUUUUUCCAAGACUGGCGUACGGUUUAUUUUGCAACAAAUACAGGAGCAAAUUACAUCGCGAACAGAAAGAAAUCAUGCAGUAUCACUGGAGCAAAUGCUACUUGUGACUUCACGUUUCCUUGCCACUGGAUCUUUUCUGCAAGUUGCUGGUGACUUUAUAGGGAUUAGUAAAGCAACAGCUUCUCAAAUAAUUAAUGUUUUGGGGUGUGGAAAAGACGCUUUCCAGCAUUGGCUUUUGGAAUUCGUUUAAAAAUGUGUAAAUUAGAGGCAGUGGUUGUGGCAACAGCAGUUUUACACAACAUUGCAAUUAUUUUAAAUGAAGAAGAACCGCCAGUGGACGCAGAAGAAGAAGCAGCAGUGAAUUUUGUGAACGAUGUUCUAAUUGAAAACAUUGGAGAAUAUAGUGGCAAUUAUAAUCAGAACAAUUUUGUACGGAACCAGUUCAUCAGAGAAUAUUUUACUCAUUUGCUUUUUUUGAUUUCGUUUUUAGUUGCAGUAAAUAAUAAAAUGUAAUGUAAUUAUUUAUUUAAGUUUUAUUAUUUAAAAUAUUAAAUUUUUGGGCAAUUAA